Molecule: ribosomal RNA, 233 nt
Filed under: uncultured bacterium
Lineage: Bacteria
Description: partial 16S ribosomal RNA
Rfam family: Bacterial small subunit ribosomal RNA
Source: RNAcentral
CGGCUGAGUAACGCGUGGGUGACGUACCUAUCGGUGGGGAAUAACUGCCCGAAAGGGUGGCUAAUACCGCAUACGUCCACUGCUUCGUGGCAGUGGGGAAAACCUUGUAAGAGGUGCCGAUGGAGCGGCCCGCGUUCGAUUAGCUGGUUGGUGGGGUAACGGCCUACCAAGGCGACGAUCGAUAGCUGGUCUCAGAGGAUGAUCAGCCAGACUGGGACUGAGACACGGCCCAG